Molecule: transfer RNA, 71 nt
Filed under: Rhodotorula toruloides
Lineage: Eukaryota; Fungi; Basidiomycota; Microbotryomycetes; Sporidiobolales; Sporidiobolaceae
Also listed under: 1 other name
Description: Rhodosporidium toruloides tRNA
Rfam family: tRNA
About the family: Transfer RNA (tRNA) molecules are approximately 80 nucleotides in length.
Source: Rfam by way of RNAcentral
GCGUGUGUAAUGUAAUGGUAGCAUAACUCACUUCCAAUGAGUUCGUGCCGGUUCGAGUCCGACCACACGUA